UGAUAUCACAGUCAUGGGCUUUUACUUUUCCUGGUUUUCUUCAUGGCACACAAACUACCAGCUCCAGUGAGAACCACGUGAUUUCGGCCAGUCGGCUUCCUUGCAGCCGGCGGCGCCCUGCUCUGCUCUCCUGGUCUGAAUCACCAUCGACUUGAUCCCUCGCCUCUACUUUUCUGGGUCCCUCUGUUUGAGCUGGAGCAUGUUCCCAAGGAAUCUUAGAGAGGGGCUGUGAGAGGCCAGGUGUCUGGGUCUCACCUAGACUGUCUUCCUGCCGUCCACAGACAUGACUCAUGUAGGCCAGACACGGGACAGUCAGUCACUAGCAACCCCCCAGAACUCUGAAGACUCUGCUUUAUUGAGUACAAGUGAACAAUCCCUGUGGUAUGGAACUCCCGUAGUUCCUGACGCCAGGUGCUUUCUCUCAAAGACUCAUGCUCUUCAGCUUAGGGGAGAGUCUUGUUUAACUUGUGUACAUUUCCGCUCCUCCAUUUCUCCCAGAAGUCCAUUGGCUGGAUGCUGGGACUUCUAGGCUGGUCCCCUCUGCUCCUGAUCUUGUAUAUUA
RNAcentral lists this long non-coding RNA (562 nucleotides) under Marmota monax (woodchuck). Lineage: Eukaryota; Metazoa; Chordata; Mammalia; Rodentia; Sciuridae. The record is from RNAcentral.